Molecule: transfer RNA, 70 nt
Filed under: Phormosoma bursarium
Lineage: Eukaryota; Metazoa; Echinodermata; Echinoidea; Echinothurioida; Phormosomatidae
Description: tRNA-Val
Source: RNAcentral
CAAGAUAUAGCUAGAAAGUAAGCUCCUCUUUUACGCAGAGCUGAGAUCCGUGCAAGUCGGGUUAUCUUGA